UCUGUUUCAUCCGUAUAGGAAUCAUCAGGUGGUCUGAUGAUUCCACCUGAUGAUUCCUAUACGGAUGAAACAGA
Molecule: non-coding RNA, 74 nt
Organism: Paramuricea clavata
Lineage: Eukaryota; Metazoa; Cnidaria; Anthozoa; Malacalcyonacea; Plexauridae
Source: the annotation of a GenBank genome assembly